UCUCCGUUGGUGAACCAGCGGAGGGAUCAUUACCGAGUUUACAACUCCCAAACCCCUGUGAACAUACCUAUCGUUGCCUCGGCGGUGCCCGCUCCGGCGGCCCGCCAGAGGACCCCCAAACUCUUGUUUUAUACAGUAUCUUCUGAGUAACACGAUUAAAUAAAUCAAAACUUUCAACAACGGAUCUCUUGGUUCUGGCAUCGAUGACGCAGC
This 213-nucleotide unclassified non-coding RNA is filed under the name plant metagenome. Its description in RNAcentral is "partial contains small subunit ribosomal RNA, internal transcribed spacer 1, and 5.8S ribosomal RNA". The record is from RNAcentral.